GCUUGUCUCAAAGAUUAAGCCAUGCAUGUCUAAGUAUAAACGCUUUAUACUGUGAAACUGCGAAUGGCUCAUUAUAUCAGUUAUAGACUAUUCAAUAAUCUCUUACUACUUGGAUAACCGUAGUAAUUCUAGAGCUAAUACGUGCGUAAAUCCCGACUCCUGGAAGGGACGUAUUUAUUAGAUUUAAGGCCAACCGAGCUUGCUCGUCUCUUGGUGAAUCAUGAUAACUUCACGAAUCGCAUGGCCUCGCGCCGGCGAUAUUUCAUUCAAAUUUCUGCCCUAUCAAUUGGCGAUGGUAGGAUAGAGGCCUACCAUGGUGUUAACGGGUGACGGGGGAUUAGGGUUCGAUUCCGGAGAGGCAGCCUGAGAAACGGCUACCACAUCCAAGGAAGGCAGCAGG
This 400-nucleotide ribosomal RNA is filed under the name Tetraselmis cordiformis. Its description in RNAcentral is "partial small subunit ribosomal RNA". It matches the Rfam family "Eukaryotic small subunit ribosomal RNA", at positions 30 to 432 of the family's 1831-position model. Lineage: Eukaryota; Viridiplantae; Chlorophyta; Chlorodendrophyceae; Chlorodendrales; Chlorodendraceae. The record is from RNAcentral.